GACGAACGCUGGCGGCGCGCUUAACACAUGCAAGUCGAGCGGAGCGGCGGUCGGGGGAGUAACACGUGAGUAACCUGCCUUAGAAAUUGGGAUAGCCUCGGGAAACCGGGAACAAUACCAAAUGGUCUAAGAUGGACUCGCGUCCCAUUAGAUAGUUGGUGAGGUAACGGCCCACCAAGGCGACGAUGGGUAGCCGGCCUCAGAGACUGGACGGCCACAUUGGAACUGGGAAGCGGUCCAAACUCUACGGGAGGCAGCAGUGGCGAAUAUUGCACAAUGGAGGGAAUUCUGAUGCAGCGACGCCGCGUGAACAAAUAAGGCUUUCGAGUAGUAAAGUUCUUUUAUAUGGGAAGCGGUACCAUAAGAAAAAGCCCCGGCUAACUACGUGCCAGCAGCCGCGGUAAUAC
RNAcentral lists this ribosomal RNA (407 nucleotides) under uncultured bacterium. RNAcentral describes it as "partial 16S ribosomal RNA". It matches the Rfam family "Bacterial small subunit ribosomal RNA", at positions 28 to 526 of the family's 1533-position model. The record is from RNAcentral.